UACGAAGGGGGCUAGCGUUGCUCGGAAUUACUGGGCGUAAAGCGCACGUAGGCGGAUCCUUAAGUCGGUGGUGAAAUCCUGAAGCUCAACUUCAGAACUGCCUUCGAUACUGGGGACCUUGAGUUCGGGAGAGGUGAGUGGAACUGCGAGUGUAGAGGUGAAAUUCGUAGAUAUUCGCAAGAACACCAGUGGCGAAGGCGGCUCACUGGCCCGAUACUGACGCUGAGGUGCGAAAGCUAGGGGAG
This 245-nucleotide ribosomal RNA is filed under the name uncultured Pseudolabrys sp. RNAcentral describes it as "partial 16S ribosomal RNA". It matches the Rfam family "Bacterial small subunit ribosomal RNA", at positions 524 to 768 of the family's 1533-position model. Lineage: Bacteria; Pseudomonadati; Pseudomonadota; Alphaproteobacteria; Hyphomicrobiales; Xanthobacteraceae. The record is from RNAcentral.